This is a non-coding RNA of Aedes aegypti (yellow fever mosquito), 74 nucleotides long. NCBI's taxonomy places the organism in Eukaryota, Metazoa, Arthropoda, Insecta, Diptera, Culicidae. The record is from Rfam.
UGUUCUGUAGCUUAGUUGGUUAAAGCGCUGGUCUAGCGCAAACGAAGUCGUGAGUUCAAGUCUCACUAGAACGC